Angomonas deanei is the source of this 73-nucleotide non-coding RNA. NCBI's taxonomy places the organism in Eukaryota, Euglenozoa, Kinetoplastea, Trypanosomatida, Trypanosomatidae. The record is from Rfam.
UCCGUUGUGGUAUAGUCGGUUAGAACAAGUGGCUCUCACCCACUAGACCCGGGUUCGAUUCCCGGCAACGGAA